RNAcentral lists this long non-coding RNA (311 nucleotides) under Chinchilla lanigera (long-tailed chinchilla). RNAcentral's name for it is "lncRNA (ENSCLAG00000028614.1)". Lineage: Eukaryota; Metazoa; Chordata; Mammalia; Rodentia; Chinchillidae. The record is from RNAcentral.
CCAGGAAUCAAACUCACGACCUUGCGCUGGCUGGGCAGGCGCUGUGCCACUGAGCUCAAUUCCCAGCCCCUUAAUCAUCUGAUUUUAUUAGUGUAUGUUGGCAGUUCAUGAUGUUUACAUUCAUUUUAGAGAGUGGCCCCCGGAUUUGUUGGGAAGAGUGAGGGGAGUGGGCCUGAGCAGUCAGUUAGAGUCCUGAGGCUGUGACUCCCACUGAAGUCUGGAAGAAGCCAUUCCAGACAGAGGAGACUGCACGUACACUGCAGUGACCAACAUGGCUGCUGUGAUUGAGAAAUUAUACGAAGGUAAAUUUC